CUCCUACGGGAGGCAGCAGUGGGGAAUCUUGCACAAUGGACGAAAGUCUGAUGCAGCAACGCCGCGUGGGGAUGAAGCUUUCGGAGUGUAAACCCUUUCGACCCGGAAGAAUGCCGCAAGGGUUUGACGGUACGGGUAUAAGAAGCCCGGCUAACUACGUGCCAGCAGCCGCGGUAAUAC
Molecule: ribosomal RNA, 180 nt
Filed under: uncultured bacterium
Lineage: Bacteria
Description: partial 16S ribosomal RNA
Rfam family: Bacterial small subunit ribosomal RNA
Source: RNAcentral